Molecule: ribosomal RNA, 628 nt
Filed under: uncultured archaeon
Lineage: Archaea
Description: bacterial SSU rRNA
Rfam family: Archaeal small subunit ribosomal RNA
Source: RNAcentral
AGGUUGUUGUUGGGGUAACGGCCCAACAAGCCUGUAAUCGGUACGGGUUGUGGGAGCAAGAGCCCGGAGAUGGAUUCUGAGACACGAAUCCAGGCCCUACGGGGCGCAGCAGGCGCGAAAACUUUACAAUGCGGGAAACCGUGAUAAGGGAACUCCGAGUGCCCGUUAAAUCGGGCUGUCCACCAGUUUAAAAAACUGGUGAAGAAAGGGCCGGGCAAGACCGGCGCCAGCCGCCGCGGUAAUACCGGCGGCUCGAGUGGUGGCCACUAUUACUGGGCUUAAAGCGUUCGUAGCUGGUUUGUUAAGUCUCUGGGGAAAUCUGCCGGCUUAACCGGCAGGCGUCUCAGGGAUACUGGCAGACUAGGGACCGGGAGAGGUGAGGGGUACUCCAGGGGUAGGAGUGAAAUCCUGUAAUCCUUGGGGGACCACCUGUGGCGAAGGCGCCUCACCAGAACGGCUCCGACAGUGAGGGACGAAAGCUGGGGGAGCAAACCGGAUUAGAUACCCGGGUAGUCCCAGCUGUAAACGAUGCGCGUUAGGUGUAUCGGUGACCACGAGUCACCGAGGUGCCGAAGAGAAAUCGUGAAACGUGCCGCCUGGGAAGUACGGUCGCAAGGCUGAAACUUAA